ACGCUCGACACCUACGGAGGCAGCAGUCGGGAAUAUUGCGCAAUGGAGGAAACUCUGACGCAGUGACGCCGCGUAUAGGAAGAAGGUUUUCGGAUUGUAAACUAUUGUCGUUAGGGAAGAGAAAGGACAGUACCUAAGGAGGAAGCUCCGGCUAACUACGUGUCAGCAGCCGCGGUAAUCUGAGCGGGCUGGCAAGGC
This 198-nucleotide ribosomal RNA is filed under the name uncultured bacterium. RNAcentral describes it as "partial 16S ribosomal RNA". It matches the Rfam family "Bacterial small subunit ribosomal RNA", at positions 328 to 539 of the family's 1533-position model. The record is from RNAcentral.